RNAcentral lists this ribosomal RNA (497 nucleotides) under uncultured bacterium. Its description in RNAcentral is "partial 16S ribosomal RNA". It matches the Rfam family "Bacterial small subunit ribosomal RNA", at positions 28 to 507 of the family's 1533-position model. The record is from RNAcentral.
GAUGAACGCUGGCGGCGUGCCUAAUACAUGCAAGUCGAGCGAACAGACGAGGAGCUUGCUCCUCUGACGUUAGCGGCGGACGGGUGAGUAACACGUGGAUAACCUACCUAUAAGACUGGGAUAACUUCGGGAAACCGGAGCUAAUACCGGAUAAUAUAUUGAACCGCAUGGUUCAAUAGUGAAAGACGGUUUUGCUGUCACUUAUAGAUGGAUCCGCGCCGCAUUAGCUAGUUGGUAAGGUAACGGCUUACCAAGGCGACGAUGCGUAGCCGACCUGAGAGGGUGAUCGGCCACACUGGAACUGAGACAAGGUCCAGACUCCUACGGGAGGCAGCAGUAGGGAAUCUUCCGCAAAGGGCGAAAGCCUGACGGAGCAAAGCCGCGUGAGUGAUGAAGGUCUUCGGAUCGUAAAACUCUGUUAUUAGGGAAGAAAAAAUGUGUAAGUAACUAUGCACGUCUUGACGGUACCUAAUCAGAAAGCCAAGGCUAAAUACGUG